Molecule: long non-coding RNA, 1160 nt
Organism: Lycium barbarum (goji berry)
Lineage: Eukaryota; Viridiplantae; Streptophyta; Magnoliopsida; Solanales; Solanaceae
Exons: 2
Source: RefSeq, a predicted model, not a curated record
UUCAAGGGGGGGAUGUAUCUGGACAAUUAGUUGUAAUUUUAAGGAAACCCGCUCCACGUGUUCACUUUUCGGUUCAACGAGAAUGGAAUUUUUUUUAUCCUCCCUCUAUAGUAGUAUUACUUUUGGGAAAAUACAUAAAAACCCCCAAUGCUCGGAUUAAUUAUGACGCAUCUAAUCUUUGCGGGCGACCUAUUACCCUCCUGAGCAUUUUAAAAGUGGAAUUUAUAACCCUUAAAAAGUCACACCCAGAUAUGUGUUGGACAGUGUAGUGCACACGCCUGACACGUGUACAUUAAAAAAAAUCAUUUAUUUUCUUAGUCUUUUCUUUAUUUUUCUGUUUUUCUUUUUCCCUUUCCUCUGUUCUUCCUCACUCUUUCUUUCUCUUUCUCUUUUUAUUUUCUUCUUUAUAUUUCCUCCAUUUUCGCCGGAGCUCCAUCCAUGGCUGCCACAAUUUCAGAUCAACCCACCACUCACUUGAGUUUUCUACUUCACACAAUCGACUUUCCAUCAUUAUCCACUAAUUUUGUGAUUUUUAAUGAAUUUAACAAAUUAGAAAUCUGAAAAUUUUCUCUUCCUCAAUCAAUUUAAAGACUUGAUUUUUCAUGCUUAAUGACGUGUGAAAGCUCAGCGACAGCAAAAGAGUAAAUUUAGGAGCUGAAAUCAGUAGAGGAAAAACCAACUGGAUAUCACCAUUAAUGACCACAGUAGAAACUUGAAGCUUGAGCGUGAAGAUCUAUAACGAAGCUGGGAUAUGAAUGGUUGCAAACAUUUUCGAUGGGAAGGUAGUAUUCCCGUGGAUGAAACAAUGGAGACGAAGUUUAAAAAGCCUCCUGUUGAUAGAGAUACCGCAACCUCACGUAUCACUAGAGAUACCGUGAAAUUUGACUUGCAGUUUAAGCUUAUGGAAGCUCAAGAAAAAUUGACCUUUUGGAGGUCUUGCUUAAAGAAUCUAAAGAAAAACAAAGUUUUUUCAAGGCUCACCUUAGAGACACUCAACGCGAGAAAAAUGUUUUGAAAGAAAAACGGAAGGUUUGAAAGAUUAUUUGUGCUAUCUUGUUGUUGUUUAUUAUUUCUAUGUAUUUUUUGUUAUUUUUAUAUAUUUUGUUUUUACUAGUUGUAUGUUUUCACGUAUUAUGUAAUCGGCACCUUUUAUGUACUAA